This 200-nucleotide ribosomal RNA is filed under the name uncultured bacterium. Its description in RNAcentral is "partial 16S ribosomal RNA". It matches the Rfam family "Bacterial small subunit ribosomal RNA", at positions 8 to 197 of the family's 1533-position model. The record is from RNAcentral.
AGAGUUUGAUCCUGGCUCAGGACGAACGCUGGCGGCGUGCCUCAAACAUGCAAGUCGAGCGUGGGUUCAUCCUCUCGCAAGAGAGGGUGAAUUCUAGCGGCGAACGGGUGAGUAACACGUGAGAAACCUGCCCUCCGGACGGGGACAACCUCGGGAAACCGGGGCUAAUACCGGAUACGCUCGCCGGGUCGCAUGGCCUG